Molecule: ribosomal RNA, 500 nt
Filed under: uncultured bacterium
Lineage: Bacteria
Description: partial 16S ribosomal RNA
Rfam family: Bacterial small subunit ribosomal RNA
Source: RNAcentral
AUUGAACGCUGGCGGCAGGCCUAACACAUGCAAGUCGAGCGGUAGAGAGAAGCUUGCUUCUCUUGAGAGCGGCGGACGGGUGAGUAAUGCAUAGGAAUCUGCCUGGUAGUGGGGGAUAACGUUCGGAAACGGACGCUAAUACCGCAUACGUCCUACGGGAGAAAGCAGGGGACCUUCGGGCCUUGCGCUAUCAGAUGAGCCUAGGUCGGAUUAGCUAGUUGGUGGGGGAAUGGCUCACCAAGGCGACGAUCCGUAACUGGUCUGAGAGGAUGAUCAGUCAUACUGGAACUGAGACACGGUCCAGACUCCUACGGGAGGCAGCAGUGAGGAAUAUUGGACAAUGGGCGAAAGCCUGAUCCAGCCAUGCCGCGUGUGUGAAGAAGGUCUUCGGAUUGUAAAGCACUUUAAGUUGGGAGGAAGGGCAGUAAAUUAAUACUUUGCUGUUUUGACGUUACCGACAGAAUAAGCACCGGCUAACUCUGUGCCAGCCGCCGCCGUAA